GGUUGAUGGCCCUUCGGCGUCGCCCUGCGGGGGGAGAUGCCAAAACCACCUCGUGCUGCGUUGGUUGAUGACCGUCGUGGUGAGCGACGAGGAAAAGGCGCUUGACGCGUCAGGU
RNAcentral lists this non-coding RNA (115 nucleotides) under Frankia sp. Hr75.2. The record is from RNAcentral. Lineage: Bacteria; Bacillati; Actinomycetota; Actinomycetes; Frankiales; Frankiaceae.